GCCCCCUCAACUUAGUGGUAGAGUAACACCAUGGUAAGGCGUAAGUCGUCGGUUCAAAUCCGAUAGUGGGCU
Molecule: transfer RNA, 72 nt
Filed under: Codonopsis tubulosa
Lineage: Eukaryota; Viridiplantae; Streptophyta; Magnoliopsida; Asterales; Campanulaceae
Also listed under: 3 other names
Description: tRNA-Thr
Rfam family: tRNA
About the family: Transfer RNA (tRNA) molecules are approximately 80 nucleotides in length. Their secondary structure includes four short double-helical elements and three loops (D, anti-codon, and T loops).
Source: RNAcentral